This 97-nucleotide microRNA precursor is filed under the name Nicotiana sylvestris (wood tobacco). Its description in RNAcentral is "MIR6152 microRNA precursor family". It matches the Rfam family "MIR6152 microRNA precursor family". Lineage: Eukaryota; Viridiplantae; Streptophyta; Magnoliopsida; Solanales; Solanaceae. The record is from Rfam by way of RNAcentral.
UGGACAGAUUAUUGUAUUCGACUGUAUUCACGGCGUAAAAUAGGGGAUUAGACUAUUUUUAAAACAGAAAGUGAAUCAAUUAACAUAAUAGACUCCU